Molecule: unclassified non-coding RNA, 206 nt
Filed under: Glomeraceae sp.
Lineage: Eukaryota; Fungi; Glomeromycota; Glomeromycetes; Glomerales; Glomeraceae
Description: partial contains 5.8S ribosomal RNA and internal transcribed spacer 2
Rfam family: 5.8S ribosomal RNA (bases 1-71)
Source: RNAcentral
GUGAAUCAUCAAAUUUUUGAACGCAAAUUGCACUUUCUGGUAUUCCGGAAAGUAUGCCUGUUUGAGGGUCAGUUAAAUAAGAAUCGGUGUUAUUGCUAUUAAUGGCGAUGCAUCGGAAUUGAGUCGUCUUUACCUUUGGUUUUAGGGAAUUAAAAUUAUGUACGAUUUCUGGAAGUUUUUAAAUUAUUUACUUAAGCUCCUGGUAU